RNAcentral lists this ribosomal RNA (468 nucleotides) under uncultured bacterium. RNAcentral's name for it is "partial 16S ribosomal RNA". It matches the Rfam family "Bacterial small subunit ribosomal RNA", at positions 28 to 507 of the family's 1533-position model. The record is from RNAcentral.
GACGAACGCUGGCGGCGUGCUUAACACAUGCAAGUCGAACGGAAAGGCCCUGCUUUUGUGGGGUGCUCGAGUGGCGAACGGGUGAGUAACACGUGAGUAACCUGCCCUUGACUUUGGGAUAACUUCAGGAAACUGGGGCUAAUACCGGAUAGGAGCUCCUGCUGCAUGGUGGGGGUUGGAAAGUUUCGGCGGUUGGGGAUGGACUCGCGGCUUAUCAGCUUGUUGGUGGGGUAGUGGCUUACCAAGGCUUUGACGGGUAGCCGGCCUGAGAGGGUGACCGGCCACAUUGGGACUGAGAUACGGCCCAGACUCCUACGGGAGGCAGCAGUGGGGAAUAUUGCACAAUGGGCGGAAGCCUGAUGCAGCAGCGCCGCGUGCGGGAUGACGGCCUUCGGGUUGUAAACCGCUUUCGCCUGUGACGAAGCGUGAGUGACGGUAAUGGGUAAAGAAGCACCGGCUAACUACGUG